AAGUCGUAACAAGGUUUCCGUAGGUGAACCUGCGGAAGGAUCAUUAUCGUAGGGCUUCUGUCCUGUCGAGAUAGCGUCCUUGCCUAUUUUUUGGAGUACCUUUCGUUUCCUCAGCAGGCUUGCCUGCUACUGGGGACCCUUUAAACUCUUUGUAAAUACAGCAUCUGUCUGAAUAAAUAAACAAAAAUCAAAACUUUCAACAAUGGAUCUCUUGGUUCUG
Molecule: unclassified non-coding RNA, 220 nt
Filed under: Lophiostoma sp.
Lineage: Eukaryota; Fungi; Ascomycota; Dothideomycetes; Pleosporales; Lophiostomataceae
Also listed under: 1 other name
Description: partial internal transcribed spacer region
Rfam family: Eukaryotic small subunit ribosomal RNA (bases 1-46)
Source: RNAcentral